UUAAUGUCGUUGUUCUUCGAAAAAGAUUCGUAAUUCAUAUCAAAUCUUGAUCUCAUUUGAUGUUGAUUUCUUCAUUUCUUCUUCUUUUUCCGUUCUCUAGGUUUCAUAUAUCUAUGGAAAUAUCAUAUUUAGUUCAUUCAACUCCAUUUAGCCCUUAAUAUUUCCUUACAUCAAGUAUUCUUCAUUUCAUUUACGAAAAUCUAUGAUUGUCCUUGUUGUUUAAUUUCGCUGAAUAUGUAAAUCUCAAAAGUGAGUUUAAUUACAAAGAAAAUCUGAUUGCAUCUGUUAAGAAAAGUAAUAAGUUCCAUAACUAAUUUCAAUUAUUUGUUAAUUUUAUCUUUCAAUUGCCAAUAUAUGUGAAUUUAGUCUCAUAUCUCUAUUUGGAUCUACUAUGUUAAAAUCCGCUUAAAUCUCAAUUUUUAUAACUUCCGUGUGUGAGAAUCUAUUUGGUCAAUUAUUUUUGAUUGAUAUCAAGAGUUCUGAAAAUUGUUCCAUUCAUUUGUAGUUGGUUUCACAAGAUAAUCAACCGAAAAAUAAUAAACCAUUUUUACAAAUUUUGUUUUCAUUAGAAUCCAUUCCAGAAACUUCUCAUAGAUUUUCUAAAUUUUUAUCUCCUAACUGUACAAUUUUCAAAUUGUAAUUUGCAGAAAUCUGAAGUGAUUGUUAUCAAUGAAGAAGAAGUGAUUGUUAUCAAUGGAGAAGAACUUGGUUGCUUUUCCUGAAAAAGCUGAAGUUGGAGUGUAUGAUAAAUAUCCUUCACAUUUAUGGGAACCUGUCAUUGCUUCCGAAGAUCGCGAUUUCGACGUUACGGUGUUGAUUUUAUUGGUAUUACUUGUGCGGUUUCAUUUUGGUUUAGUAAGGGAGGUGGGAGUACUAGUACUCAAUAGUUUGGCAGUUUGUGAAAAACACCCUAUCACGGAAGGCUGUUGAGAUAGUAUUGGCGAUCUUAUUGGGGACAAGGAUUUCUAGAUGGAAAGUUCUUGGAUCACAUAUGAGUAAGUUUGUGAAAAACACCCUAUCACGGAAGGCUGUUGAGAUAGUAUUGGCGAUCUUAUUGGAGACAAGGAUUUCCAGAUGGAAAGUUAUUGGAUCACAUAUGAGUAAGAUUUUUUGAUUGGCUCGGGUAACUCACCUGAGUAUGGAAUCAGCAAUAUGUGAAGUAAAGCUUCUCUGUAUUGUACACCGUGCUGACAGGAGGGGAAGCCAGUACCGAAAAAUCCGGACUUAAUAUAAGUUACGGAUCAGUUGUAGUGAAGGUCAAAGAUGAUAACGAUGAGUUCCCAACUUAUGUUGCUAUGGUUGCAGCCCAAGAUGAUGCAACACGGUGCAAGGUUAUCUGCUAAACUUACCUCUGCAAAUCUGGAUGUUAUCCAACUGGAGCUUGGUGUGGUUGGUAUUUUUCUCAGUCUGUGCGGAUUAGGGUGGC
This is a long non-coding RNA of Papaver somniferum (opium poppy), 1426 nucleotides long. RefSeq lists it as uncharacterized. The transcript is spliced from 6 exons. The record is from RefSeq and is a predicted model, not a curated record. Lineage: Eukaryota; Viridiplantae; Streptophyta; Magnoliopsida; Ranunculales; Papaveraceae.